AUUGAACGCUGGCGGCAUGCCUAACACAUGCAAGUCGAGCGGAUGCUUCGAGCUUGCUCCUGCAUUCAUCGGCGGCCGGGGGAAUAAUGCCUUGGAGUCUGCCUGGAAUUGGGGGAUAAUGUCCGGAUACGGGCGCUAAUACCACAUCCGACCUGUUGGCGACAGUGGGUGAGCUUCCGACCUCACGCUUUCAUAUUAACCUAGGGCGGAUUCACUAGUUGGGGGGGUAAAGGCCCACCAAGGCGACGAUCCGUAACUGGUCUGAGAGGAUGAUCAGUCACACUGGAACUGAGACACGGUCCAGACUCCUACGGGAGGCAGCAGUGGGGAAUAUUGGAAAAUGGGCGAAAGCCUGAUCCAGCCAUGCCGCGUGUGUGAAGAAGGUCUUCGGAUUGUAAAGCACUUUAAGUUGGGAGGAAGGGCAGUAAGUUAAUACCUUGCUGUUUUGACGUUACCAACAGAAUAAGCACCGGCUAACUUCGUG
RNAcentral lists this ribosomal RNA (484 nucleotides) under uncultured bacterium. RNAcentral describes it as "partial 16S ribosomal RNA". It matches the Rfam family "Bacterial small subunit ribosomal RNA", at positions 30 to 507 of the family's 1533-position model. The record is from RNAcentral.